GGGGGUACCAGCACAGAGUCAAUGUGGAGGCUAUAUACAGGGGGUACCAGCACAGAGUCAAUGUGGAGGCUAUAUACAGGGGGUACCGGUACAGAGUCAAUGUGGAGGCUAUAUACAGGGGGUACCGGUACAGAGUCAAUGUGGAGGCUAUAUACAGGGGGUACCAGCACAGAGUCAAUGUGGAGGCUAUAUACAGGGGGUACCAGCACAGAGUCAAUGUGGAGGCUAUAUACAGGGGGUACCAGUACAGAGUCAAUGUGGAGGCUAUACACAGGGG
This is a long non-coding RNA of Oncorhynchus tshawytscha (Chinook salmon), 277 nucleotides long. Lineage: Eukaryota; Metazoa; Chordata; Actinopteri; Salmoniformes; Salmonidae. The record is from Ensembl.